This 461-nucleotide ribosomal RNA is filed under the name uncultured bacterium. Its description in RNAcentral is "bacterial SSU rRNA". It matches the Rfam family "Bacterial small subunit ribosomal RNA", at positions 28 to 518 of the family's 1533-position model. The record is from RNAcentral.
GACGAACGCUGGCGGCGUGCCUAACACAUGCAAGUCGAACGGGGCAGCAAUGCCCAGUGGCGAACGGGUGCGUAACACGUGAGGAACUUGUCCAUCGGCGGGGGAUAGCCGGCCCAACGGCCGGGUAAUACCGCGUACGUCGGCGAGACCGCAUGGUCUUGCCGGGAAAGCGGCAAUGCACCGAUGGAGAGCCUCGCGGCCUAUCAGCUAGUUGGUGAGGUAAUGGCUCACCAAGGCGACGACGGGUAGCUGGUCUGAGAGGAUGAUCAGCCACAUUGGGACUGAGACACGGCCCAGACUCCUACGGAGGCAGCAGUGGGGAAUAUUGCGCAAUGGGCGAAAGCCUGACGCAGCGACGCCGCGUGUGGGAUGACGGCCUCGGUUGUAACCACUGUCGCGAGGGACGAAGAGUCUGACGGUACCUCCGAAGGAAGCACGGCUAACUCUGUGCCAGCAGCCGC